GCUGGGCAUGGUGGCUUAUGCCUGUAAUCCCAGCACUUUGGGAGGCCGAGGCGGGUGGAUCACCUGAGGUCAGGAGUUCGAGACCAGCCUGACCAACAUGGUGAAACCUCGUCUCUA
RNAcentral lists this non-coding RNA (117 nucleotides) under Nomascus leucogenys (northern white-cheeked gibbon). The record is from Rfam by way of RNAcentral. Lineage: Eukaryota; Metazoa; Chordata; Mammalia; Primates; Hylobatidae.